UGCAUCUGAAGCCUGACGAGGAUGAGAACCUCCGGGGGCAAGAGGUUCGACUCGAGCGCAGUGAGAGAACGUUGCGUCAGCAACGGCCCGCAGGGCGAGCCACGCAGUGGCGAGUCAUCCUCUAUCACCGACCA
This 134-nucleotide small RNA is filed under the name Salmonella enterica. Its description in RNAcentral is "RtT sRNA". It matches the Rfam family "RtT RNA". Rfam says of the family: This family represents a bacterial cis-regulatory element known as RtT RNA. The exact function of RtT is unknown although it is thought that it may be involved in changing the cellular response in relation to amino acid starvation. RNAcentral also lists the same sequence under 2 other names. The record is from RNAcentral. Lineage: Bacteria; Pseudomonadati; Pseudomonadota; Gammaproteobacteria; Enterobacterales; Enterobacteriaceae.